Atractiella rhizophila is the source of this 72-nucleotide non-coding RNA. Lineage: Eukaryota; Fungi; Basidiomycota; Atractiellomycetes; Atractiellales; Hoehnelomycetaceae. The record is from the annotation of a GenBank genome assembly.
UCCUCAGUAGUCCAACGGUCAGGACAUCUGUCUUUCACACAGAAGACCCGAGUUCGACUCUCGGCUGGGGAG